Molecule: transfer RNA, 72 nt
Filed under: Camelus bactrianus (Bactrian camel)
Lineage: Eukaryota; Metazoa; Chordata; Mammalia; Artiodactyla; Camelidae
Also listed under: 2 other names
Rfam family: tRNA
About the family: Transfer RNA (tRNA) molecules are approximately 80 nucleotides in length. Their secondary structure includes four short double-helical elements and three loops (D, anti-codon, and T loops). Further hydrogen bonds mediate the characteristic L-shaped molecular structure. tRNAs have two regions of fundamental functional importance: the anti-codon, which is responsible for specific mRNA codon recognition, and the 3' end, to which the tRNAs corresponding amino acid is attached (by aminoacyl-tRNA synthetases). tRNAs cope with the degeneracy of the genetic code in two manners: having more than one tRNA (with a specific anti-codon) for a particular amino acid; and 'wobble' base-pairing, i.e. permitting non-standard base-pairing at the 3rd anti-codon position.
Source: Rfam by way of RNAcentral
GAGGGUAUAGCUCAGUGGUAGAGUGUGUGACUAGGAUGCACAAGGUCCUGGGUUCAAUCCUCAGUACCUUCA